This 169-nucleotide non-coding RNA is filed under the name Dichanthelium oligosanthes. Its description in RNAcentral is "Eukaryotic large subunit ribosomal RNA". It matches the Rfam family "Eukaryotic large subunit ribosomal RNA", at positions 675 to 845 of the family's 3401-position model. The record is from Rfam by way of RNAcentral. Lineage: Eukaryota; Viridiplantae; Streptophyta; Magnoliopsida; Poales; Poaceae.
CUGACAUACGUGCAAGUCGAUGGGUUCUUAAACCUGGGAUGCACAAGGAAGCUGAUGAGUGGGAGGCCCUCACGGGUCACACCACUAGCCGACCCUGAUCUUCUGUGAAGGGUUCGAGUUGGAGCACGCCUGUCGGGACCCGAAAGAUGGUGAACUAUGCCUAAGCGGG